GGGACCUUUGAACAAACUUCCAGACAAACCUGGCACCCCUUGAGUGAGAUGAAUGUAGUAAUGGAUCAUAUUAAGGUCCCAAAUGAACGUCCUUCUCGAGUUGAGAUUAAAGAGGCUGGUAUCAAGGAAGAAACAAGUUUGGAAAUGCAGGCCAUUGAAAAUGAAAAUGCUGCAGAAGAAAAAUCCAAAGUGGAAGCAAUAAUUGAAGAUAAUGUCGAGGAGAAAGUGGAAAAACAAACUGAAAAUGACGUGAAAACUCUUGAUAUGGAACAACAAGUCAAUGUUGAGAAAGAAACUGGAAGUGUGUCACCUGGGCAAUCUGAAGUGACAGUGACAACGCAAGAGUUUGUGAGAAAACUGGAAAGUGAAAAGAAAAUGAUAAAAAGCAAGCGGAGUCUGUUGAAGGACAAAAAAACGGCGAAAAGCCUGUUGUUGAAGAUGUUCCAGUUGUUUCCAAAAAUGAAGAGGUCAGUGAGGGCAAGCCAUCUGUUGACAAGGGUGCUCCGUUGACAGCUGGGGAUAAAGAAGGAUUAAAGAGUGAGGCGAAAGAAGACGCUGUUGAAGUUAAAGAGAUAGUAAAGAAUGGCGAUGAUAAAAAAGUUCAUGGCGAAGCUGUUGCAAAUGUGGCGUUAGAUGUUAAAAACAAGAAGGAAACGACAGAGACAAAAUCCAAACCAUCAGUUGAAGAAAACACCGACAAAUCUACGAUAAAAAUUCGUCAGGUGUCUCAUGACGUGGAAACUGGUCUAAAGGAGGAUAGUGCAAAGAAAGAUGCUAGUAGACCGACGCGACCCGAUCUUCCAAAAAUGAAAAUUGGAAGCGUGAAAAAUGUCACUGUUGGCGGAACAAGUGCAAAGCAAGUCGAGGUUUAUUGUGUUAGACGACGGGAGAAAAAGAGCCAAGUAGAUGGCGCACCUAACAAACGAAUAUCUUGCAUUGAUCUUGGAGAUGCUGAAAGAGAGGGAUGGUUGACCAAGAAAAGCGGUGGUCAUGGAUUGGCUCCAACAAGAUGGCGACGUCACUGGUGUGUGUUAAAAGACAAUCACCUAUACUACUAUAAAACAGCAUUUGACAAAGAAGCUGUUGGGAUGAUACAGAUAGCUGGAUACAAGAUGUCUCCUGCUCCUGAACAGAAGAAACCAUUUUGUUUCAAGUGCGAAAAGGAAGGAGGAAAGGGCUAUUUUUUCUAUGCAGACAAUGAAUUGGAAAGGGAAAAUUGGAUCAAUAUCUUGAAUAUAUCAUCACGAGGCGAGCGGAAAUUCAGAGAGCCUGGGCUCGGACAGAUAAACCAAUCCACUGAACGUGAACGUAAGACGAGCGAUUCAUCGUCUCUCAGGAUCUCUACAUCAAACGUUAGACCGAGAACUUCCUCCGUUCUCGCAGGAAUCCGUUUUGACUACCAUGAUGAUGAUGAUGAUCACGUUGGUUUAAAAAGGCAAUCCAUUGCCAUUGUUUCGAACGAAGGUACCAACGUUAACGGAAAGAAUGUUGAUCCUGAACCAAGUAAGGCGGAGGAAAAAACCAACGGUCAAAACAUACUAAAGAUCGCAGAAAACUAUGGCGAAGACGCUGGUCAAGAUGUGUUUUUAGAUACAAAAGACAAAAACAUAUUGGUAAAUGGGAAUUCCGAUAUUAUAACUAAAUCAAGUAACGAGAGUUCCACGAAGUCAUUAGACACUUCCAUAAAAAUGGACGAAGAGAUAAAAGAGUCAAGCUACUCCUCAAAAUCCGAUAAGGGAGGUAAGGAUGAUUUUCAAGAAGUUGCUGAUUCUAUUAAAAAGCAAACAUUGGCUUAGACGGUUCAGAUGUAUCGCCUGAGUUGAAGUUAAGAAGGUUAUCCGCCAACUCUAAGUCAGAAAUUAUGGAUAAAGUUGUAAAAUUGCGUAUUUUAAAACAAACGUUAAAGGACAAGGAGCAAAGUAUUGAUGAAAUUGACGAAUUGUUGUUAUCCGAAGUUACUCCUGAAUCCCUUUCUGAAUGGCGAAAUAAAUACAAUGUCAUAACUAAAUUGAACGACCUAAAUGAAAACAAAGUAAUGUAGAUGGUUUAGUUGCUGAAGGAACCAAGACUUAAAUAAGAGAAUUGAAAACUUCAUCUUAACAAAACAUAAGUUAUUCAAAACGCAAUAUUUUAACAGAGACAGCUCCUAUAGAGGACUUUUUUUAAGCAUAUCGCACUGCGGAUACCUGUGCUUUUAGUAACGAAUCUUUUCUUAUUUUUUCAGUGCAGUUUAUGAUAAAAUUUUGUAGUUUGAUUUCUUGGGUUGAAUUUUAGCUGAUGUUGUAUUUAUCUAUUGUGUAGUUUUCCAUCAUGUCCGUUGUAUGAAUAAUCUGUAAUUAUUUUUCUAAUAAUUUUAGUAGAACUCUUAAGAUGGUCAAUCAUCGUUUGUAAAGAUUUUCAAUGAAAACCAUGUAAUGUAAA
RNA transcript from Xenia sp. Carnegie-2017, 2421 nucleotides. It is a transcript of the gene named connector enhancer of kinase suppressor of ras 1-like, with no coding region annotated. NCBI's taxonomy places the organism in Eukaryota, Metazoa, Cnidaria, Anthozoa, Malacalcyonacea, Xeniidae. The record is from RefSeq and is a predicted model, not a curated record. The transcript is spliced from 10 exons.